Molecule: ribosomal RNA, 545 nt
Filed under: uncultured bacterium
Lineage: Bacteria
Description: bacterial SSU rRNA
Rfam family: Bacterial small subunit ribosomal RNA
Source: RNAcentral
AAUAGAUACCCCGGUAGUCCACGCCGUAAACGAUGAGUGCUAAGUGUUAGGGGGUUUCCGCCCCUUAGUGCUGCAGCUAACGCAUUAAGCACUCCGCCUGGGGAGUACGGUCGCAAGACUGAAACUCAAAGGAAUUGACGGGGGCCCGCACAAGCGGUGGAGCAUGUGGUUUAAUUCGAAGCAACGCGAAGAACCUUACCAGGUCUUGACAUCCCACUGACCGCUAUGGAGACAUAGCUUUCCCUUCGGGGACAGUGGUGACAGGUGGUGCAUGGUUGUCGUCAGCUCGUGUCGUGAGAUGUUGGGUUAAGUCCCGCAACGAGCGCAACCCUUGAUCUUAGUUGCCAUCAUUUAGUUGGGCACUCUAAGGUGACUGCCGGUGACAAACCGGAGGAAGGUGGGGAUGACGUCAAAUCAUCAUGCCCCUUAUGACCUGGGCUACACACGUGCUACAAUGGACGGUAUAAACGGUUGUCAACCCGGCGAGGGGGAGCUAAUCCGAUAAAACCGUUCUCAGUUCGGAUUGUAGGCUGCAACUCGCCUAC